CCUACGGGUGGCAGCAGUGGGGAAUAUUGCACAAUGGGCGAAAGCCUGACGCAGCGACGCCGCGUGAGGGAUGAAGGUCUUCGGAUCGUAAACCUCUGUCAGCAGGGAAGAACGGUCACUGUGCUAAUCAGCAGUGAAUUGACGGUACCUGCAAAGGAAGCACCGGCUAACUCCGUGCCAGCAGCCGCGGUAAUACGGAGGGUGCGAGCGUUAAUCGGAAUUACUGGGCGUAAAGCGCUCGUAGGCGGUAGGUCAAGUCAAGGGUGAAAUCCCCGCGCUCAACGUGGGAACUGCCUUUGAAACUGGCAAACUGGAGUGUGUGAGAGGAGAGUGGAAUUCCAGGUGUAGGAGUGAAAUGCGUAGAUAUAUGGAGGAACACCAGUGGCGAAGGCGACUAUCUGGCACAUAACUGACGCUGAGGAGCGAAAGCGUGGGUAGCAAACAGGAUUAGAUACCCCUGUAGUC
RNAcentral lists this ribosomal RNA (465 nucleotides) under uncultured bacterium. Its description in RNAcentral is "partial 16S ribosomal RNA". It matches the Rfam family "Bacterial small subunit ribosomal RNA", at positions 338 to 795 of the family's 1533-position model. The record is from RNAcentral.